This 251-nucleotide ribosomal RNA is filed under the name uncultured bacterium. RNAcentral's name for it is "partial 16S ribosomal RNA". It matches the Rfam family "Bacterial small subunit ribosomal RNA", at positions 524 to 776 of the family's 1533-position model. The record is from RNAcentral.
UACGAAGGGGCUAGCGUUGCUCGGAAUCACUGGGCGUAAAGCGCACGUAGGCGGCUUACUAAGUCAGGGGUGAAAUCCUGGAGCUCAACUCCAGAACUGCCUUUGAUACUGGUGAGCUUGAGUCCGGAAGAGGUGAGUGGAACUGCGAGUGUAGAGGUGAAAUUCGUAGAUAUUCGCAAGAACACCAGUGGCGAAGGCGGACUCACUGGUCCGGUACUGACGCUGAGGUGCGAAAGCGUGGGAGCAACAGG